Molecule: ribosomal RNA, 497 nt
Filed under: uncultured bacterium
Lineage: Bacteria
Description: partial 16S ribosomal RNA
Rfam family: Bacterial small subunit ribosomal RNA
Source: RNAcentral
GAUGAACGCUGGCGGCGUGCCUAAUACAUGCAAGUCGAGCGACAACACGAGGAGCUCGCUCUCCUGACGUUGGCGGCGGACGGGUGGGUAACACGUGGAUCACAAACCUCUAAGACUGGGAUAAUUUCGGGAAACAGCAGACACUACUGGCUCAUAUAACGAACCGGAUAGAUCAAUAGUGAUAGACGCUUUUGCUGUGACUUAUAGAUGGUUCCGGACCGCAUUAGCUAGUUGGUAAGGUAACGGCCUACCAAGGCAACGAUGCGUAGCUGACCUGAGAGGGUGAUCAGCCACACUGGAACUGAGACACGGUCCAGACUCCUACGGGAGGCAGCAGUAGGGAAUCUUCCGCAAUGGGCGAAAGCCUGAUGGAGCAAUACCGCGUGAGUGAAGAAGGUCUUCGGGUUGUAAAGCUCUGUUAUUAGGAAAGAACAAAAGUAGGAUAAACUAUGGACGUCUUGACGGUACCUAAAGAGAAAGCCACGGCUAACUACGUG